AUACGGAGGAUCCGAGCGUUAUCCGGAUUUAUUGGGUUUAAAGGGUGCGCAGGCGGGAGAUUAAGUCGGCGGUGAAAUUUUGCAGCUCAACUGUAAAAGUGCCUUCGAAACUGGUUUCCUUGAGUGUAGAUGAAGUAGGCGGAAUUUGUGGUGUAGCGGGGAAAUGCAUAGAUAUCACGAGGAACUCCGAUUGCGCAGGCAGCUUACUAAACUACUACUGACGCUCAGGCACGAAGGCGUGGGGAUCAAACAGGAUUAGAUACCCUGGUAGUCCACGCAGUAAACGAUGAUGACUAGCUGUUUGCGAUACAAUGUAAGCGGCUGAGCGAAAGCGUUAAGUAAUCCACCUGGGGAGUACGUUCGCAAGAAUGAAACUCAAAUGAAUUGACGGGG
This 393-nucleotide ribosomal RNA is filed under the name uncultured bacterium. RNAcentral's name for it is "partial 16S ribosomal RNA". It matches the Rfam family "Bacterial small subunit ribosomal RNA", at positions 523 to 918 of the family's 1533-position model. The record is from RNAcentral.